This 492-nucleotide ribosomal RNA is filed under the name uncultured bacterium. Its description in RNAcentral is "partial 16S ribosomal RNA". It matches the Rfam family "Bacterial small subunit ribosomal RNA", at positions 29 to 507 of the family's 1533-position model. The record is from RNAcentral.
AGUGAACGCUGGCGGUAGGCCUAACACAUGCAAGUCGAACGGCAGCACAGUAAGAGCUUGCUCUUACGGGUGGCGAGUGGCGGACGGGUGAGGAAUACAUCGGAAUCUACUUUUUCGUGGGGGAUAACGUAGGGAAACUUACGCUAAUACCGCAUACGACCUACGGGUGAAAUCAGGGGAUCUUCGGACCCUGCGCGAUUGAAUGAGCUGAUGUCGGAUUAGCUAGUUGGCGAGGUAACGGCCCACCAAGGCGACGAUCCGUAGCUGAUCUGAGAGGAUGAUCAGCCACACUGGAACUGAGACACGGUCCAGACUCCUACGGGAGGCAGCAGUAGGGAAUAUUGGGCAAUGGGCGCAAGCCUGAUCCAGCCAUACCGCGUGAGUGAUGAAGGCCUUCGGAUUGUAAAACCCUGUUGUUGGGAAAGAAAAGCUGCGUAUGAAAACGCCGCUAUUCUGACGGUACCCAAAGAAAAAGCAACGGCUAACUUCGUG